Molecule: ribosomal RNA, 925 nt
Filed under: uncultured Bacteroidota bacterium
Lineage: Bacteria; Pseudomonadati; Bacteroidota
Description: bacterial SSU rRNA
Rfam family: Bacterial small subunit ribosomal RNA
Source: RNAcentral
UGGAUCCAGACUUUGAUUCUGGCUCAGGAUGAACGCUAGCUACAGGCUUAACACAUGCAAGUCGAGGGGAAACGACAUCGAAAGCUUGCUUUUGAUGGGCGUCGACCGGCGCACGGGUGAGUAACGCGUAUCCAACCUGCCCACCACUUGGGGAUAACCUUGCGAAAGUAAGACUAAUACCCAAUGAUAUCCCACGAAGGCAUCCGAAUGGGAUUAAAGAUUUAUCGGUGAUGGAUGGGGAUGCGUCUGAUUAGCUUGUUGGCGGGGUAACGGCCCACCAAGGCUACGAUCAGUAGGGGUUCUGAGAGGAAGGUCCCCCACAUUGGAACUGAGACACGGUCCAAACUCCUACGGGAGGCAGCAGUGAGGAAUAUUGGUCAAUGGGCGAGAGCCUGAACCAGCCAAGUAGCGUGCAGGAUGACGGCCCUAUGGGUUGCAAACUGCUUUUAUAAGGGAAUAAAGUGAGUCUCGUGAGACUUUUUGCAUGUACCUUAUGAAUAAGGACCGGCUAAUUCCGUGCCAGCAGCCGCGGUAAUACGGAAGGUCCGGGCGUUAUCCGGAUUUAUUGGGUUUAAAGGGAGCGUAGGCCGGAGAUUAAGCGUGUUGUGAAAUGUAGUGGCUCAACCUCUGCACUGCAGCGCGAACUGGUCUUCUUGAGUACGCACAACGUGGGCGGAAUUCGUGGUGUAGCGGUGAAAUGCUUAGAUAUCACGAAGAACUCCGAUUGCGAAGGCAGCUCACGGGAGCGCAACUGCGCUGAAGCUCGAAAGUGCGGGUAUCGAACAGGAUUAGAUACCCUGGUAGUCCGCACGGUAAACGAUGGAUGCCCGCUGUUGGCCUGAAUAGGUCAGCGGCCAAGCGAAAGCAUUAAGCAUCCCACCUGGGGAGUACGCCGGCAACGGUGCAACUCAAAUGAAUUGACGGA